CAGCCGCCGCGGUAAUACGAAGGGGGCUAGCGUUGCUCGGAAUGACUGGGCGUAAAGGGCGCGUAGGCGGCGGCCAAAGUCAGGCGUGAAAUUCCCGGGCUCAACCUGGGGGCUGCGUUUGAUACUUGGUUGCUUGAGUGGGGAAGAGGGUCGUGGAAUUCCCAGUGUAGAGGUGAAAUUCGUAGAUAUUGGGAAGAACACCGGUUGCGAAGGCGGCGACCUGGUCCUUUACUGACGCUGAUGCACGAAAGCUAGGGGAGCAAACAGGAUUAGAUACCCCAGUAGUCCCUGUCUCUUAUAA
This 301-nucleotide ribosomal RNA is filed under the name uncultured bacterium. Its description in RNAcentral is "partial 16S ribosomal RNA". It matches the Rfam family "Bacterial small subunit ribosomal RNA", at positions 509 to 809 of the family's 1533-position model. The record is from RNAcentral.